RNAcentral lists this ribosomal RNA (555 nucleotides) under uncultured bacterium. RNAcentral's name for it is "partial 16S ribosomal RNA". The stretch from base 1 to 481 matches the Rfam family "Bacterial small subunit ribosomal RNA", at positions 78 to 545 of the family's 1533-position model. The record is from RNAcentral.
AUCCUUCCUUNAUUAAGCCGAGUGGCGCAAGGGUGAGUAAUGCAUAGAUUACCUGCCUCCGGGAUAAGGACAACUUUGUGAAAACGGAGCUAAUACUUAAUAAUACAAAAGGAAAUUAUUUUCUUUUGUCAAUGGGAGGGUAGCAAUACCUUUUGCCUGGAGAGGGGUUUAUGUCCUAUCAGCUUGUUGGUGGGGUAAUGGCCUACCAAGGCGAAGACGGGUAGCCGGUCUUACAGGAUGGUCGGCCACACUGGGACUGAGACACUGCCCAGACUUCUACGGAAGGCUGCAGUCGAGAAUCUUUCGCAAUGCCCGAAAGGGUGACGAAGCGACGCCGCGUGAGUGAGGAAGGCCUUCGGGUUGUAAAGCUCUGUCAGGAGUUAANAAAUGNAANUGUCUAAUACCNCAUUUAUUUGACAAAACUCCAAGGAACCACGGUUACUCUGNCCNCACCNCGGUAAUCAAAAGUGCAACCNUUUUCNAAUAUUGGCCUAAAACCCUNNGUGGUUUNAANCAAANUAAACCCUUUUNAACNAAAAUCUUUAAANCAAUUUA